RNAcentral lists this ribosomal RNA (449 nucleotides) under uncultured bacterium. RNAcentral's name for it is "bacterial SSU rRNA". It matches the Rfam family "Bacterial small subunit ribosomal RNA", at positions 329 to 793 of the family's 1533-position model. The record is from RNAcentral.
CUCCAGACUCCUACGGGAGGCAGCAGUGGGGGAUAUUGCACAAUGGGGGAAACCCUGAUGCAACGACGCCGCGUGGGCGAAGAAGUAUUUCGGUAUGUAAAGCCCUAUCAGCAGGGAAGAAGAAAUGACGGUACCUGAGUAAGAAGCACCGGCUAAAUACGUGCCAGCAGCCGCGGUAAUACGUAUGGUGCAAGCGUUAUCCGGAUUUACUGGGUGUAAAGGGAGCGCAGGCGGCACGGCAAGCCUGAUGUGAAAGCCCGCGGCCCAACCGCGGGACUGCAUUGGGAACUACCGGGCUGGAGUGCAGGAGGGGCAGGCGGAAUUCCUGGUGUAGCGGUGAAAUGCGUAGAUAUCAGGAGGAACACCGGUGGCGAAGGCGGCCUGCUGGACUGCAACUGACGUUGAGGCCCGAAAGCGUGGGGAGCAAACAGGAUUAGAUACCCGGGUAU